RNAcentral lists this ribosomal RNA (1017 nucleotides) under uncultured organism. Its description in RNAcentral is "bacterial SSU rRNA". It matches the Rfam family "Bacterial small subunit ribosomal RNA", at positions 355 to 1375 of the family's 1533-position model. The record is from RNAcentral.
UGAGGAAUAUUGGUCAAUGGACGAGAGUCUGAACCAGCCAAGUAGCGUGAAGGAUGACUGCCCUAUGGGUUGUAAACUUCUUUUAUACGGGAAUAAAGUGAGGCACGUGUGCCUUUUUGUAUGUACCGUAUGAAUAAGGAUCGGCUAACUCCGUGCCAGCAGCCGCGGUAAUACGGAGGAUCCGAGCGUUAUCCGGAUUUAUUGGGUUUAAAGGGAGCGUAGGCGGACGCUUAAGUCAGUUGUGAAAGUUUGCGGCUCAACCGUAAAAUUGCAGUUGAUACUGGGUGUCUUGAGUACAGUAGAGGCAGGCGGAAUUCGUGGUGUAGCGGUGAAAUGCUUAGAUAUCACGAAGAACUCCGAUUGCGAAGGCAGCUUGCUGGACUGUAACUGACGCUGAUGCUCGAAAGUGUGGGUAUCAAACAGGAUUAGAUACCCUGGUAGUCCACACAGUAAACGAUGAAUACUCGCUGUUUGCGAUAUACAGUAAGCGGCCAAGCGAAAGCGUUAAGUAUUCCACCUGGGGAGUACGCCGGCAACGGUGAAACUCAAAGGAAUUGACGGGGGCCCGCACAAGCGGAGGAACAUGUGGUUUAAUUCGAUGAUACGCGAGGAACCUUACCCGGGCUUGAAUUGCAACUGAAUGAUGUGGAGACAUGUCAGCCGCAAGGCAGUUGUGAAGGUGCUGCAUGGUUGUCGUCAGCUCGUGCCGUGAGGUGUCGGCUUAAGUGCCAUAACGAGCGCAACCCUUAUCGAUAGUUACCAUCAGGUUAUGCUGGGGACUCUGUCGAGACUGCCGUCGUAAGAUGUGAGGAAGGUGGGGAUGACGUCAAAUCAGCACGGCCCUUACGUCCGGGGCUACACACGUGUUACAAUGGGGGGUACAGAAGGCAGCUACACGGCGACGUGAUGCUAAUCCCUAAAGCCUCUCUCAGUUUGGAUUGGAGUCUGCAACCCGACUCCAUGAAGCUGGAUUCGCUAGUAAUCGCGCAUCAGCCACGGCGCGGUGAAUACGUUCCC